GUGAACCCAGGUUUCUUGCAUUACAGGCAGAUUCUUUACUAUCUGAGCCACCUGGGAAGCCCAGACUCCAGGAUGCAUGCUUGCAACUAAACUAUGUGUCACUGCUGAUUCUUCUUGGCAGACUGACAUGUGUCCACUGGCGAACAUUCCAAGUUCUACUGGAAACGUGUUCAACUCUGCUCCUUCGAAUCAUGAAAGGAUUUGCAAACUAGUGUUACCAUUUUCUAGUAUAAUACGUGAUUUGGCUUUGCAUUAUUUCACACUUACGACAGCUCAUGUAGAAUGGAGUUUCUUGAUUUCAGCACUGUUGAAAAUUUGGACUGGAAAAGUCUCUGUGGUGCGGGGCUGGGCUGUCACGCACAUUGGAGGAUGGUUAGCAACGCACCUGGCCUCCAUCCACCAGGACCACAUCCUCUCCCCUACAGGCGACAACCAAACAUGUCUCCAGACACAGCCAAGGGUCCCCCCCAAAGGGGAUCACCAGCUGAGAAGCCCUGGGGUGGAGCCAUCACUUCCUUUUUUAACAACUGCAUAGAAUUCUGUUCUAUGAAUGUACUGUUGUUUAUUCACCUAUUCUUCAGGGCUUUCUAGGUAGCGCUAGUGGUAAAGAACCCGCCCGCCAAUGCAGGAGACGUAAGAGAUGCGGGUUUGACCCCUGGGUUGGGAAGAUCCCCUGGAGAAGGGCAUGGCAACC
This 694-nucleotide long non-coding RNA is filed under the name Capra hircus (goat). RNAcentral's name for it is "lncRNA (ENSCHIG00010015089.1)". Lineage: Eukaryota; Metazoa; Chordata; Mammalia; Artiodactyla; Bovidae. The record is from RNAcentral.